GAUCUGUGCGGCGGGAAGAUGCUAGUUAUUCUCGAGGGCGGUUACAAUCUUCGAUCAAUAUCUUCUUCUGCUACAUCAGUGAUGAAGGUGCUUAUGGGUGAAUCCAGAGAACGAGUUGCCUAUA
Brassica oleracea var. oleracea is the source of this 124-nucleotide long non-coding RNA. RefSeq lists it as uncharacterized. The transcript is spliced from 3 exons. NCBI's taxonomy places the organism in Eukaryota, Viridiplantae, Streptophyta, Magnoliopsida, Brassicales, Brassicaceae. The record is from RefSeq and is a predicted model, not a curated record.